GAAGGAUUGUAGAGCGACUUGCUAGAAAUGGCGACAAAUUCUUUUAUGUCCAACACUUAAUGUCAAAAGAAAAAAUGCUUCAAUUCAAUGGCAGUCCAACUCUAACAUUCCACAGCUAAACUUCCGAAAAAAAUAAAUCAAGAUACAAAAAGGAAACCUUCAUUUUCCUUUUGAGUAUACCAUAAUUAAGCAGCAGCGCCUACGCAAGUAGUUACUGGAGCAGCACUAUUUUGUUUUGCAGCACUAUAUUUCUUGGUGAUGAAUCUGAAAAAAUCCCUCCAUAACAGCUCGUACAUCAGCCAGUUCAGCCCAUUGCCACUACCACCAUCUUUCUUGGCAGAGGCAGCAGAAAUCGUUCUUGACGUGGACUUUUUUAAUUCAUCAAACAUGGAACGGGGUGAGAGACAUCCCAUAGCUAACCAAGGCGAUAUUUUGCAAGAAAAGUUUGC
This 449-nucleotide unclassified non-coding RNA is filed under the name Hevea brasiliensis (rubber tree). Lineage: Eukaryota; Viridiplantae; Streptophyta; Magnoliopsida; Malpighiales; Euphorbiaceae. The record is from RNAcentral.